This 9576-nucleotide long non-coding RNA is filed under the name Marmota monax (woodchuck). Lineage: Eukaryota; Metazoa; Chordata; Mammalia; Rodentia; Sciuridae. The record is from RNAcentral.
GGUGUCGCGAGGACCAAGUGGGUGAGUAGACGAGGGGGGCAGGUGCCGGUCCGAAGCCCCCUGUUGUGAUCCUCACUCUUGUCCCCUCACUGAGGUGGACCAAAGGGUGGGGGAAGUGGCCUUGUCAGAGUGAAGGGCUCUUCUCUCCUUUUCCAGGAAGAGGACAGAGGACUCCCCUCCCCAUGGGUCAGGAGCACCCCAGCAGACUUUCGACCACUUCCUGCUCCUCACAAGGGUGGGGCAGGGUCGGCUGGAGAAGCUGGGUCCAGGAAAGGAAGCACAUGUGUCCCCUGCCUUGAAGGUCGCAGGCCGAGGAGGGGAGCCGGGCUGUGGCCAUUCUGCAGAUACUCCCCCAGGAAGGACUCUGCAUGGGUGAGGGGCUCGAGGCGAGGCUGGAGGAGGAGGGGAGGAGACCUCAGGUCAAGGAAUGGGGCUGUGGGGACCUGGGGGUCCACAUGGCUGUCACUCUAUCAGUGGGACCAGGGACGGCUGGUCAGAGUUAGAGAGGCACCUGCCAGAGGACAGUCCCCGGAGGCCUCCCGGUGCCCCAUCACUGGAGAACCAGCUCUGGCCAGGGGCGGAGGAUGGCCCAGACCUCCACCCCAUCCUGAAACCCAGCCCGCUGAGCACGGGGUGGGGAGGGAGAGGAGCUUUGACUUUGGUGGAGACGGAAGUUUUCAAAUGAGCCAGACUAAAUACUGGACUGAGACAGCCCUAAUGGCUGGGCACGGAGGGGAAUGGGCAUAAUUUGGCCAAUGUCUCUAAGGGAGUGGCGAGGUGGGACGGAAUGUAGUUAGGGGGAGUUACAGGGACACAUGAGACCGUUUCCAGCUGCUUUCUACCAAGUGAAGGCCCCUCCAUCCAGGUGACAUGGGUUUACCUGUCUGUGUCUGUCUCUCUGUGAGCUGCGUCUGUCCUUUCCCCAGCAGGGCUAGUGGACCGAGUCUGGCACACAGUAGGCUUUUCAUAAAUUCUAGGAGUGGAUUAAGGAAGGAGCCUGAGUUUUCUAAUCUUGGAGGCUGGGAAGAGGAGUCCCCUGGAGUCCCCAACUCCCUGGGCCGGGUGCCUUCUGCCUCCUGGGGCCUCCCCUGCUGUUCCUGGCUGGAUCCGGUUUGGAGGGGGGAGGCCAGCCCGACACCAAGGCAUCUGCUGGAGGCGUCCUGAAACAGAAGUAAGAGUGUCACCGGCACCAGCGAGAGGCAGCCAGUGCCCCCUGCGCUCUUCAGCCAGCUGGGUGCUGCACCUCUAGGCCAUGGUGGGGGACCCAGCCCCUCCUGAUUCCCUGAUCAUUUUCCCCCCAGAUGUGUGGGCCUGUCCUUCCUCCUUCCUCUUAUCUUGAUCCUGGGGGUUGAACCCAGUGGCCCUUGACCACUGAACCACAUCCCCAGCACUUCUUAUUUUUUAUAUUAAGACAGGAUCUCAGUAAGUUGUUUAGGGCCUCACUAAAUUGCUGAGGCUGGCUUUGAACUCGCGAUCCUCCUGCCUCAGCCUCCCGAGCUAUCGGGUGUCACCACGCCCAACCCUCUCCGCAUCUUCACAGCUCCCAGAACUUGGGUCAGAGCGCACCUUCUCAGCGCCCCCAGCUCUGGGCCUCUCUUGGCCUAAGGGCUCUCAGUCACUGCUGAGCUGCUGUGAUCACCUGGAGGAGCCAGCCCUCCACUCCACCAGAGAGCAUCUUCCUACUGACUGGCCUCUGGCUGUGCCUGGGCAGGGAAACGCCCCGCUGUGCAGAGAGACAAGAGCACCUCCCAGGUCCUCGCCUCUGAUGCUCUGCCUCCGCCAACCCGGCCCCUCUGGAGAGCCACGCCCUGCUCUGCCGGGGGCGCACACGUGGCCCUCCAUCCUCGUGUGUCCUUCCCCCCUGAGCCUGCGUCUGCCCUGGGGAGACUGGAGUCACCGGGGCCCCGACUGCGGCCUGUGAUGGUGCUGCAGGUAUUUUUAGCUUUCUCAUUAACCGAAUGCUUUCAAAUUAGCCUUCUAUUAACCUCAAAGGAAAAUGAAAGUGUGUUUUUUUUCUUCCCAGAGUGAGUCUCUCCUGCAGAAUAUCAAGGUUCCAUGAUUAACGCUUCAUGCGCCUUGAAGCGCUAAUGAAGUUGGAUUCUCUAAAAUCCAACUUGAUGGAAUAAUUGGUCCGUGGUCUCUGCAAUGGCGAAGGAGACGCUGCCAGGAGGGACCGGUCCCCGCCUUCCCGUCUCCCUUUUUCUGUCUCCUCUUUCCUUCCCCGGAGGCCCCCGUGUUCCCACUCCACACUCUGAAGGGGCCAGGUGUCCAGCACCCGCUCCCUGGUCUUAGCUGGGAGGGGUCGCAGCUCCUGAAUGUCGAGUUUCAGGCUGAGACUCAGCGGCUGCCCCUUGGAGAAGCACGGUCUGGUCCUUGAGCCCUGAGCCUGGGUCACAGCAGCCUCUUGACAUUGCCAGUGUCCCUUGAAGUGAGCUUAUCUCUGGAUCAGGGUCCUGGCUGCAGACGGGGACAAAUAGCCUUGCAAUUUCCGAGAGGUGUCAGGCAGCAAGUCGGAUGAGGCCCAUCCCAUCCCCCACAGACACACUCGAGAGGGGAGGUCUGUCCCCAGGGUCACCUGCCCACAGCAGCGAUGGGCCUGCUGGGGGGGCCAAGUAGAGCUGGCUCUCGGAGGACCGUGGGUGCCGCUGGGAGGGGGUGGCUGUCAACAGACAGGAGCAAGCCCCUGACAACCUGUGUCCCUUGUGGCACUGAAGGAGCUCGCAGGGUUGGCCCCAGAGGACUCAGCCACAUGUCCGUUGGUCUAGCCUGUCUGGGCCCAGGUGUGACGUCCCCUGCCUCCCCUGGUUCCAGCCCCUUCCCUGACCUUGCGUCGUCGGGGCUGAUUCCUUGCCACUCUCCUGACCCUCCCUCUCUUGGCACUUGUGAUCUGUGCUUUCUGAAGCCAUCUAGCAAAGAAGGGCUGGAGGCCCUGUAGGGAGGCCCUUGGCCUCUCAGAAUCUCGUUUUCCUUGUGAGCAGCACCAGGAGAGGUUUCUGUCCUGUGCGGGGGCAUGUCACUUGGCCUACAGAGCUGGCUCUCACCAGUGGGGGAGGGGCCGUCCAUAGGGAUUCCCUGACACCCUCCCUUGCCACCCCAGGGGUCAUCUGCCCUCCCCAGGUGACUCACUUAUGCUCCUCUGGAUGUGACCAGAUUCCUGGAGGCCCGAGAAAAGACAACAGGCCAAAGUAAAUGACAGGUCGACAUGGACGAGCUACAUAGUGGACGACUCCUGUGCCACAUGGCCAGUCGCUUCCCACCUCUCUCCUUGAAGGUCCCUCUGUCACUGCAAAACUGAAAUGUCAGAAAGCAAACGCAUCCCUCUGUAUUUCUCAGAGCUAGCAGCAUGACCAUCCACCCAGGCCACACACCUGAGGGUCACCCGAGACCCCUCGGCAGCCCCCCAAUCUUGGCCACACCCCUCUGCUGGCCCUUUGUCCCUGCAGUGAGUCAGAAUCUCACUGCUUCUCUCCAGAGCAGGAUGGUGGCCCUCCAAUUUGUCUUUCUGCCAAAAAGCUUCACCUUGAGUCCAUUUUCUGUUUCACACCCAGGACACUUGCUCUGAAGUGUGCUUCUGAUGGGGCUGCUCCUUUGCUAACACCUUCCAUGGCUCCAGGUUACCUUUGGACGGCUUGGAGUUUCCCAGGACGCGCACUUGCCACUUCUCCAGCCUUCUUCCAGGUCCCUCGCUCACACGCACAUCCGUAUCCCCGAGGCCCACCCACUGCAGGUUCCUGCAUCCCUGGCCAUUUCCCAGGGUGGCACACUGUGUUCUCUCUGAUCACGGUACUCUUUGUUCCUGGUCCACCCAGGGAACUCCUAUCCACCCUACAAGACCUUUCAAAUAUACCCGCCCCUCCAGGAGGUUGUGGUUGCUGAGAAGCUUCACGACAGGUAAUAGAGUCCCUGCGGGUCCCUGCACGUCCCUGCGCGUCCCUGUGCGUCCCCGUGCGUCUCCGCGCGUCCCCGCCGGGUUUCUCCGCCAUCCCAGGUAGCCUACGCGUUGUCCACACUGGGGUUCUGUGGGAUGCAGAGGUGCAGUCGUCACACACUGUCAUUUAGUGGGGGUCCGUCAUCCUCCCAGGGCUUGCAGACAGAGCCAGGCUCCUCGCUGCCUGGAGUCAGGCCGCUGUCCUUGUCCCUGCUUCCUGCCCUUUCUGCCACCUGUCCUCUCUCCUUGGUGCACCUUCCGCCUUGGCAGAAUGAGGCCCUGUGUCGGGUGCGGGUCUCGGAGGCUGGAUUCGCCUUCUAAACCAGAGCCUCCUGUGGUCAUCUGCCACUUCUUACUCCUGUCCUUGACCUGCCCCUCCUCCCUAGUGACAGUGGCAUUUCCUCCUCACUGUCUGCACAUUCUGGUGCCCAGGAGAAGGAGCAUCAGGGCGCUGUGAAGAAUGGCUCCCCCGAGCUCCCACACAACGGCAGCCUGGCUCCUCCCGGCCUGGUCCAGCUCUCCACUCCCCGCCAGGCGCCAGGGAGGAGGGAAGGAGCAGGCCUGGGCCUCACCUGACUCCUCCUCAGCCGUCCAGGCCCUGGGCAGCCGAGGAGGAGUCCUACUGCGCGCAGAGAUGGGUGGGUUUUCUGCUUCUCAUUUGCCGUGGGCCCUUGUCCCUCCCCCACCCUGAGUUUAGUCCACUUGGGCAGGCGGCGGGCAGGUGAGGCUGGUUUGGAACGAGCCUCAUACAUAAAAUCCAGUCUUAGAGCCAGGUGGGGGGUAAUUAGACACAUUUCAAAAGAAUUCUUGGAUUUCAAAAGGCUCCGUGGCAGGGAGCCCAUGAUUAGCCGCUCCCCGGGACACGCCAGGCUGCCUCCUGUUGGCCAGGCCCCCCACCAGACCACCUUCCUGCCCAGAGUUAGGCUUCUCUUCUUUUAGGUUUAAUUGACUCCGUUACCAUGGCCUUUCUCUGAGCCAGGGAAGGAGCUGGGCUGACUGUCUUCAUCUCACAGAUGCGGGGAACUAAGGUGUCCAUUACACAGCCAGAGCUCAGGGAAGAGUGGACCUCGGAGGGCAGAAGCUGUGGCUGUAGCCAGAGUGACCCUUUCCUCCUUAGAGAGAAUCCCUGCUGUAGUGGGGAGAUAACAAGACCAACCACAAGACCCUGUGUUCUGGUUUUCUAAGCAACUUGGCAAAUUCUAUCCAUGAGAUGCGGAAGACCAUGUCCAGUGGAACUUCUGGGUGAACGUCUCCCGGCAAGCAGGCUCAACUAGGAGCUGCCCUUCACACUGUGUGCCUCCCUGCUGCCCGGAAGGUGAUGACUGGAACUUCAGCAGCCAUUUUGGGCCACGUUGAGACCUUGUACUGGCAAUUCUGUGCUAGGCUGGCAGACGCAGAGAGACAGAUAGCAUCUGAGUUCUGACCUCCGCGGAUUUGCCAGCGCUGGACCACUUACCUCUGCAGUUCUUUUACAUAAGAGGAGACAGAAGCUGCCAUCUUGGUUAAGCCACUGUUAGUUUGGCUGCUGUGUUAUACGCAACCAGGCCUAAUCCUAGCUAAGAAGUCAGUUUCGUGACUCUCGUCUUCAAGACUCUGCCACACCCACAUCUUGGAGACAGGUGGAAUAGAGUGUUUUUAUAGGUAAGUUGUAACUGUCCCUCAAUCCAUUGUCUGUCACCCUUUUCCUUGUGGACCCAUGGAUCUAAGUGACCUGGUAGCUAUCAUGAGGGACUCUUAAAUGGGGGUGCGGUGGGUGGGGGAUGUCCAAGACUCUUCUGGGCUACAUUAUUCACUGGAAGCACAGAGAAACACAGUCACCCUGCAGGGCAGUGGGCUUGGUGUCUAAGGGACUAAGUCCACUGCCCUUUGUCUUUGGAUCUUACAUGGCCACGCCCACCUGGCAGGGCUCCUCCCUUCUCUCUCUGGCUGAGACCCAGGUCACUCUCUGCGUUUCAGCCAGCACCCUUCCUGUGCUUAGCAGAUCUGCACCCAGAGGGUUGGUGCAAGAACUUCUUACUGGUGGCUUCUUAUUUGGGCACUUCCAAGAUGGCUCCCUGGGCUCUUGCAGGGGCUGAUGAUCCCAGCCGGCCCCACGUGGGUUUUAGCCGGUGCCAGAUCGCCUGUUCUCUUGCCCACCACACGACUUCCCACUUUUGACAUUUUGUAUUUGCCCACCAAAAAAUAAAUGAGUUGGACUGAUGGCUAGCGUCUCUCCCAGCUUUCGGUCCCUUAGCCUGCCAAGAUGGAACUGGCUCAGUUGCCAGGGCCUAAUAGCUGUCAGCUAGGACGCUGGCCUCCACGCCACCUGCUGACUUGGGGCAGGUGACGGGCACUCCUUCAUGCUCAGGAGCUCUUGUGGCGCACUGCCCGGGGACCCUCUGUUGGAAGUCUGGGUAGGGACGGAGGCCAGGCAAGAGCUGGUUUUAACACUCGAGGCUUCUCCUGAGCUCUCUCACAGGCAGGUGGUGGUCCCACCCGCCGAGGGUCCUGGAAGGCUGGAUCCAAAGGCCACAUCCAUUAGAAAAAGCCACAGGAGUGGAGGUGGCCGCCUUGCUGGGCUCUAAGCGUCUUGGUGGGACAAGAGCCUUCCUGGUUUCCGGCUGGACUUUCAACACAUUUCAGUGCCGAUAUUUGUGGCUUGCCUUUGGGGCCCUGAUGAAGUAGCUCGUGGCUUUUAAUCUAUUGAUUCUUUUCAGAUACUCUGUGCGCCCAGGCUCCUGUUCCGAUGCCUCUUCCCUUUGGCCGGGGACUGUUUCUGCCUCUCGAGAAUGGGUGCACCGUGUCUCUCCCACCCCAAGGGGAGGGAACCAUGGCUGGGGAACUUCCCUGAUUUCCACAUCAAUAAGAGCACAGCACCAUGUCCCUGGAUCCCUGGAUGCUGGCCUGUGGCCUGUUUCACAGAAGAUGUCUGAUCUUAGUUCAAAGAUUCAGGGGAGAGGAUCUGGGUGGACACGAGUUCUGCCUCCACCCUCGGGUCCGGAUGCUCCAGCCUGGUCUCCCCGGGAUACAGCCUGCUACCGCUUUGGCUCUGAUUGACAUCUCCCUGGCCCUGAGGGAGCGCAGGGUCUGCCUUGGACAGGCUUUUUAUGAUGUCUCAGAGUCCUCACGAAAGGAUUUUUUUCUUUAUAAAAGCCGUGCAACGGGAAGGGACCUCAGAGAUCAUCUGGUGCAGAUGAGGAUGAGGAAACUGAGGUCCAGGGAGAUGCUGAGCCAGGUCACAUCACGAUUUGCACAGAUGCCUCACUGAGAACCGGAAUGGGAAACAGGCCUCCCGACUCCUAGGAUUCCUCCCUGGGAGUCUCAUGCUCAGCUCCAGGCUUGGCUGGAGGGUCAGGACGGACAGACAGCACCGUUCCUCUCCACCGUACACUUCCACUGUUCUGAGAAGAAUGACUCUUUCAAAUCGUCAGCCCCGCCAUGGCUCUAAACGUUCUCUGAGCUUUCGUGAGAAGCUUGGAUUCCAGACUUUAAGGAUUCAUCCUGCUAGAGAAUUCUUCCCUGGGGAUCCUGGGCUCAGCUUGGAUACUUGCAAGCCCAGGGCCUGGGCUUGUGAAUGUGCCACGUGAUCAAUGGCCAUGCCACCUGAGAGUACUGGCCUUGGAAUGGGAGUGAGAACCCGACGUCCAUGGCUGGGCUCACCCUGGAGGGCUGGGGAGGGGCCGGGUCAGAGGGGAGCUGAGGCAGGACUAGAGGUCAGGGUCAGGGCCUUCCGCACAUAGAGGCUGGAGUUCCAGGCUGCACCCUGCUGGCGCUUUAUACCUGGGUCCUGGGGCAGAGGGACUCCAGCAAGAUUGACAGUCAUCCCCCGGGUGCUGGGGUGUCUCCUGCACUCUCAGGAGCUUCUGUGGCCACAGGGAUGUGGGAGGGGAUCCCUCUUCUCUGUCCCACCCUGUUUCAGUUAGUAAAGGGGCUUCAGUGGGUGGCCUUGGCCUGGAGACUAAGGGGACAGAGAUACUAGUGGCUGAAGUGGCAGAGGCAGCCGGGAUGUCCCAUGCUGGGUUGCCCCAGAAGUAUUUUUGGGGACAGUGGUUCCAGGAAGCCGUGUUAGGGUCCUGGGGAAAGGAGGUGUCUGGAGGGACAGCUGGCUCUGGGCGUGUUUGGGGCCCACACCCUCAGCUCCAUCCUCUGAGCCCUCUGGGACGGUCAGUGCAUCUUUCCAAAUUGCUCCACCUGAGGGGCCAGCAGCUGGGAUGCACGUUCACCAACCCCCCUGGGGGGAGGUCAAUUCUCUGGCAGGUCCAGUGGCCCAGGGAGGAGCUGGGAACAGGCCCCUGCUUCCAGGAAAACCCUCAGGCGGAGAGCUGGGCAGGUGUGGGAGGGCCCAGGCCUGGCUGUGUGCUCGGGCCUCCUCCCCCCUCUCCUGCCCUCUCUUUCCUGCCUUCUCCUACUUUCUCAAUCUGAUAUGGAGACGCUGUUUUCACCCCCGAGUAGGUGUGACCUGGGGAGUAGGUGUGAGUUUUCCACCCGCUGAUGGGGAACAGACUGGAAGCCAAGAACCUGAGGAUUGGAACGGGUGUGGUCAGGAGCCGUGCUGGCUGGCGGAGAUGCAGGAACAGCCCUGACAAUGCAGAGGGACAGUUAAGGUGCCCUUGUCCUGACGAUGGGCACAGGGUGGGAUAGCCACGGGCCCCCAGAAUCAGCCUGGAAUGAGCCCCCACAUUCCCUUCCUCUGGCUAAGGUGGCCCCUUGUGACGCCCAGGACUCUGAGUCUCUGGAAUGAACAGGACCUCUGGUUAGACUGGGUGGACAUGCAGCGGAGGCAGGAUGAUAACAGCCUUCCUUUAGCUGUCGGGGGUCCGCGCUGUCUGUUUCCGUGGCUCAGGGCGGCCCCUCCUGGGAGCACAGGAGGACGGGAUCCUAACACCACGGAGCAUUCACCAGGAGCGUCCACACUCGCUGGGCACCCAGUGCUCCAGAGCAGGGUCCCGGUGACCACCUGAGGCGCCUGCACUCUGGGAGUGAGGCUCACAGUUUUCCAAAGACAAAUGCAAAGACCUGAGAGACUCACCAGUCACCUCGGGGCUGGGACACCAAACCACCCUGCCGAAGUAGGUUGCCCGGGCUACUUCAUGUCCAGCUUCAUGCUUAGCUGAAAAAGAAAAGGAAGCAAUUAGUUUUUCCUGAGCUCUUUUGACACAAUUACAAAAAAAAAAAAAAUUCUAGAAAAUAAAUCUCGGACAGGAGAGGCGUAUGAACGAGCUGUCUUGUUUGCCCUCUUCCGUGCUCUGCAACCAAUAAUGACGACAAAGACCACGGUGGACUCGGAAAUUCUUUGUGGCCCACAGAAAAAUAAGCAGAGGGAAAUGACGGGGAGGGUUGCGGGCACCCGCGUGGCAGAAACCUGCCCGACACCUAUUGUGUGUGCUGGAGAGCCCCGUGGUGGCUUGGCAGUGACAAGGACAAUGUACAAACCCACUUGAAACCAGCUGGAUUGAAACCCCAUGCAGAACAGAGAAGGCUGGCUGGCCAUCUGGGUGCCCAGACCCGGCCUGGUGUUUCUCCCAAAGCAGAAUCGCCACGCACGUCCGCAGCCGAGGCAGGAGCGGAUUUCUUCCCCAUCUGCAAGUCCCGCAUUCGGGUUGGAUCAGACACCUGUCGGUGACGUAUGUGUCACUCUGGGGUUGCAAGGCCACCUGUCAUGGAGCCUG